UCUGGAGGGCUCAAGGAGUAGAAGGGCAACGUGGCUCCUGGUUUAUAAUUAAUUCCUUUCUUUUUUAAGGAAAGUAAUCAGGAGGGUUCUCAUGAAGUUGAGUGUUUUCUCCUAGUGAAAUAGUCUCGGAGGCAUCACCCCGGGCUUUCUGGAACGGAGCAGAGCAACUCCUGGAGGCCAGCGGAGCAGAACAGCAGCUGGCGGGGACAGUGAUCGGGAGCUCUGUGUUCCUGCCGUGGGAUGGCGUUGACGGGCUCAGAGGACGUGUCCACAUCGCCUCCGCCAGCUGUCAGCCCAGAGGCUACUGAGCAGGUCCUGGGAAGGGUCCGCAUCGUGGGACGGGGCAGGGAGCACCAAGGAUCUGCCCUGCGAGGCCACUGGCCGCCCCAGCCCGCCGCUGGCUCCAGGUGACAGGCAGCCCAUCCUACAUGAUUUGCCUGGGACAGGACACCCCGGUUUUCUUCUUCCAGAUAGAUUCUAAAUGAAAACUAUUCGAGAAAAGAAAGACAGGCAGAGUACCUCUUGUGGAGUGAAAUGCAAUCCUACAACUGCCAAGGGAUUACUGUCCAAACACCCGGCACUUUGGGGGUUUGAGGAGAGUACGUGGAAAUGUAAGAAGAUGAAUCUACACAGCAUGUCGCUGAAAACCACGGGGAGGAGAUGCUCUGCAAAGGAACAUGGGUGUUAGGUUAUGUGAAACAAAGCCAGGGAGCUGUGGUUUCCCAAGCCAGAGCUUCUGGAAACCCAUCUUAUUAUGGGCAUUAUGUAACUUCAUAGAUGUAAUAAG
Long non-coding RNA from Dama dama (fallow deer), 787 nucleotides. RefSeq lists it as uncharacterized. The transcript is spliced from 4 exons. The record is from RefSeq and is a predicted model, not a curated record. NCBI's taxonomy places the organism in Eukaryota, Metazoa, Chordata, Mammalia, Artiodactyla, Cervidae.